AUGACCAGCAUACCAGUGGUGCUGUGCUGGGAGGAAUGCUGCAUGGUCUGAUGCUUUUGCUGCGACACAAGCCUCGGACCAGGCUUCAUUCCCCUCAGCUCAGUCUCAUAUUGACGGUUCAAG
RNAcentral lists this microRNA precursor (123 nucleotides) under Physcomitrium patens. Its description in RNAcentral is "Physcomitrella patens miR166f stem-loop (ppt-MIR166f)". Its record names the gene ppt-MIR166f. Lineage: Eukaryota; Viridiplantae; Streptophyta; Bryopsida; Funariales; Funariaceae. The record is from miRBase by way of RNAcentral.